Molecule: transfer RNA, 72 nt
Filed under: Marmota marmota marmota (Alpine marmot)
Lineage: Eukaryota; Metazoa; Chordata; Mammalia; Rodentia; Sciuridae
Also listed under: 1 other name
Rfam family: tRNA
About the family: Transfer RNA (tRNA) molecules are approximately 80 nucleotides in length. Their secondary structure includes four short double-helical elements and three loops (D, anti-codon, and T loops).
Source: Rfam by way of RNAcentral
GGGGUUGUGGCUCAGCGGUAGAGCGCUCGCCUUGCACGUGGGAGACCCUGGGUUCCAUCCUCAGCACCACUU